UACGGGGGGGGCAAGCGUUGUUCGGAAUUACUGGGCGUAAAGGGCUCGUAGGCGGCCAACUAAGUCAGACGUGAAAUCCCUCGGCUUAACCGGGGAACUGCAUCUGAUACUGGAUGGCUUGAGUUCGGGAGAGGGAUGCGGAAUUCCAGGUGUAGCGGUGAAAUGCGUAGAUAUCUGGAGGAAUACCGGUGGCGAAGGCGGCAUCCUGGACCGACAUUGACGCUGAGGAGCGAAAGCUAGGGGAGCAAACGGG
Molecule: ribosomal RNA, 253 nt
Filed under: uncultured bacterium
Lineage: Bacteria
Description: partial 16S ribosomal RNA
Rfam family: Bacterial small subunit ribosomal RNA
Source: RNAcentral